CGGGUAUAUUUGUCUCUGAUCUGCGGAGGCUACCAUGAUAGCUGGCUGGUACGUUAGACAAUCGGUGCUUUAAUGUGUGUACUGCUGGAAUAAGCGGAAAAUUUCAUAAUUUAAAUAAUGCAUAUAUACCUGGUGAUGAUUGAACCCGUGACACUAGAAAUCCUGCUCUCUACCGCUAACUGAGCUAGCUGGGGACCUCAGAGUAAACAGUGGCUCAGUAUUGAAUACAAUCGAAUGGCAAAACAAUGACCUCUUAUCGGGAUUUGUUGAGGGAAAAGGAAGCCCAGAACUGGGUCAAGGCCGCCCUCGCCCUCAACAUCACCAAGGGGGGGGGGGGGUUACAAAGUUUUGUGGAGGACGUGCUGACAUGCGUACAUCAGGACAUCUAUAACAACGUUAGAACAUCCAGGGGUCUUCCUACCCGGGCAACAUGUGCACAUUGUUUCACCGAGAACGUGUUAAAGUGCUCCACUCCUAAGAUAUGCACAAGUAAAAAAACUGCAAAUUUCAUAACGGCCCUUCAAAACAGUGUGUUCCUUGUCCAAAUGGGAUUUGUGAAGGCGUCCGUGAUGAAAUAGUUCAACAUCACAGGUAUUCAGGACCAUCAUGGAAGAACACGAACGCAGACAAAUGGUGUACCAUUCCCUGGGAGAUAGGCAAGUGUUUCCUGCCUCCUGAUGGCUACAAGACCUUGUCCUCCAUCAAAGACAGUGACUUCAACGGAGUGAUCAGCGUCAUGAUUAAUUGCGAGGAUUUCCAAACCAAGCUGUCGUUUAAAGUUGCGACACAGCCAAAUUUUUUAACAGAGGUUCGGGACAUUGGUCGCCGCGUACCCACUUCAAUGACCAGAAGUUCAAUGACACGGAACUAGUUGACUUGCUGUUCAAGCUCCGCACCCUGCUGGAGGACAAGACUGAUCUAGCAAACCGAACCGAGGCACAAGACGCCUGUGGAACAGCUUAAGAAGGUAAAGAAUGGAUCUGAAGACCAAGACCCCUCGUUGCCUAUCUUGGUGACAGCACUCAUGUAGCAGUCAAGUAUAGAGUCAUCAUAUUCCAUCGAAACGCAGUCAACCGUAUCAAUACACUGCUGUUGACAUGAUGGCACGUUAAAGGCCGCUCUUGGUGUCAGCAUGGUAGCUGUAGCCAGCAACACACUCACACACGACCCCAUUCCUGCAGUCGGAGUUGCUAGCUGUACAAUCGGCAUUCACCAGGCAAAUAUAUUGAUCCCUGUGAUAAAGCGUUCUUUAUCACCAUCGAUUCAGGUAGUGUUAAAGAUUAUGAAAUUAAUUUUAUUGUCGGUUAAAAAAACACACCCUACUACCCUGCUUAUUUAC
Molecule: long non-coding RNA, 1339 nt
Organism: Mya arenaria
Lineage: Eukaryota; Metazoa; Mollusca; Bivalvia; Myida; Myidae
Exons: 7
Source: RefSeq, a predicted model, not a curated record